GACAGAUCUGUGCUGCUCCUCCUGUUUGGUGUGCAGGUCUUCCUGCUCACCGCUGCCUUCAGCUCUGCAGAUGCAGCCGCUGUGCUGAACAAUGAUGGAUGAGGUUAUCGGCCUUUUCCGGAGAGAUUGAACAACGUUCAGGGAAUGAACAGACCUAUACCCAGAUUUUAUGGCCCCCAGUGCAGUGAUUUUCAUGAUUGCUCUGGGUGGAAGAACCA
This is a long non-coding RNA of Poeciliopsis prolifica (blackstripe livebearer), 218 nucleotides long. RefSeq lists it as uncharacterized. The record is from RefSeq and is a predicted model, not a curated record. Lineage: Eukaryota; Metazoa; Chordata; Actinopteri; Cyprinodontiformes; Poeciliidae. The transcript has 3 exons.